GAUGAACGCUGGCGGCGUGCUUAACACAUGCAAGUCGAACGGAAAGGCUCCUGCUUGCAGGGGUACUCGAGUGGCGAACGGGUGAGUAACACGUGGGUGAUCUGCCCUGCACUUCGGGAUAAGCCUGGGAAACUGGGUCUAAUACCGGAUAGGACCACAUUUUGGAUGGUGUGGUGGAAAGUUUUUCGGUGUGGGAUGAGCUCGCGGCCUAUCAGCUUGUUGGUGGGGUACUGGCCUACCAAGGCGUCGACGGGUAGCCGGCCUGAGAGGGUGUACGGCCACAAUGGGACUGAGAUACGGCCCAGACGCCUACGGGAGGCAGCAGGGGGGAAUAUUGCACAAUGGGAGCAAGCCUGAUGCAGCGACGCCGCGUGGGGGAUGACGGCCUUCGGGUUGUAAACUCCUUUCGCUAGGGACGAAGCGCAAGUGACGGUACCUGGAGAAGAAGCACCGGCUAACUACGUG
RNAcentral lists this ribosomal RNA (465 nucleotides) under uncultured bacterium. Its description in RNAcentral is "partial 16S ribosomal RNA". It matches the Rfam family "Bacterial small subunit ribosomal RNA", at positions 28 to 507 of the family's 1533-position model. The record is from RNAcentral.